CAACUCGCCUACAUGAAGCCGGAAUCGCUAGUAAUCGCGGAUCAGAACGCCGCGGUGAAUACGUUCCCGGGUCUUGUACACACCGCCCGUCACACCACGAGAGUUUGUAACACCCGAAGCCGGUGAGGUAACCUUUUAGGAGCCAGCCGUCUAAGGUGGGAUAGAUAAUUGGGGUGAAGUCGUAACAAGGUAGCCGUAUCGGAAGGUGCGGCUGGAUCACCUCCUUU
Molecule: ribosomal RNA, 227 nt
Filed under: Carnobacterium divergens
Lineage: Bacteria; Bacillati; Bacillota; Bacilli; Lactobacillales; Carnobacteriaceae
Description: partial 16S ribosomal RNA
Rfam family: Bacterial small subunit ribosomal RNA
Source: RNAcentral